UGCGUAGGCGGUUCCUUAAGUUUGGUGUGAAAUCUCCCGGCUUAACUGGGAGGGUGCGCCGGAUACUGAGGGACUAGAGUGCGGGAGAGGAAAGUGGAAUUCCUGGUGUAGCGGUGAAAUGCGUAGAUAUCAGGAGGAACACCGGUGGUGUAAACGGCUUUCUGGACCGUAACUGACGCUGAGGCACGAAAGCGUGGGGAGCAAACAGGAUUAGAUACCCUGGUAGUCCACGCCCUAAACGAUGCACGUUUGGUGUGGGUGAUUCAGUUCAUCCGUGCCGGAGCUAACGCGUUAAACGUGCCGCCUGGGGAGUACAGUCGCAAGGCUGAA
Molecule: ribosomal RNA, 330 nt
Filed under: uncultured bacterium
Lineage: Bacteria
Description: bacterial SSU rRNA
Rfam family: Bacterial small subunit ribosomal RNA
Source: RNAcentral